RNAcentral lists this ribosomal RNA (460 nucleotides) under uncultured bacterium. RNAcentral's name for it is "partial 16S ribosomal RNA". It matches the Rfam family "Bacterial small subunit ribosomal RNA", at positions 338 to 795 of the family's 1533-position model. The record is from RNAcentral.
CCUACGGGUGGCAGCAGUGAGGAAUAUUGGUCAAUGGACGAGAGCCUGAACCAGCCAAGCCGCGUGAAGGAUGACUGCCCUAUGGGUUGUAAACUUCUUUUAUAUGGGAAUAAAAUGUUCCACGUGUGGGAUAUUGUAUGUACCAUAUGAAUAAGGAUCGGCUAACUCCGUGCCAGCAGCCGAGGUAAUACGGAGGAUCCGAGCGUUAUACGGAUUUAUUGGGGUUAACGGGAGCGUAGGUGGAUUGUUAAGUCAGUUGUGAAAGUUUGCGGCUCAACCGUAAAAUUGCAGUUGAAACUGGCAGUCUUGAGUGCAGUAGAGGUAAGCGGAAUUCGUGGUGUAGCGGUGAAAUGCUUAGAUAUCACGAAGAACUCCGAUUGCGAAGGCAGUUCACUGGACUGCAACUGACGCUGAGGCUCGAAAGUGUGGGUAUCAAACAGGAUUAGAUACCCUGGUAGUC